UAAACGACUCUCGGCAACGGAUAUCUCGGCUCAUGCAUCGAUGAAGAACGNAGCAAAAUGCGAUACUUGGUGUGAAUUGCAGAAUCCCGUGAACCAUCGAGUUUUUGAACGCAAGUUGCGCCCGAAGCCUUCUGGUUGAGGGCACGUCUGCCUGGGCGUCACGC
This 164-nucleotide ribosomal RNA is filed under the name Dubautia plantaginea subsp. humilis. RNAcentral describes it as "5.8S ribosomal RNA". It matches the Rfam family "5.8S ribosomal RNA". Rfam says of the family: 5.8S ribosomal RNA (5.8S rRNA) is a component of the large subunit of the eukaryotic ribosome. The record is from RNAcentral. Lineage: Eukaryota; Viridiplantae; Streptophyta; Magnoliopsida; Asterales; Asteraceae.